UACGUAGGGGGCAAGCGUUGUCCGGAAUCACUGGGCGUAAAGCGCGCGCAGGCGGCGAUCUACGUCCGGGGUGAAAGCCCAGAGCUCAACUCUGGGACUGCCUUGGAUACGGGAUCGCUUGAGGAUCGGAGAGGCAAGGGGAAUUCCACGUGUAGCGGUGAAAUGCGUAGAGAUGUGGAGGAACACCUGUGGCGAAGGCGCCUUGCUGGCCGAUUUCUGACGCUGAGGCGCGAAAGCGUGGGGAGCAAACGGG
This 253-nucleotide ribosomal RNA is filed under the name uncultured bacterium. RNAcentral describes it as "partial 16S ribosomal RNA". It matches the Rfam family "Bacterial small subunit ribosomal RNA", at positions 524 to 776 of the family's 1533-position model. The record is from RNAcentral.